RNAcentral lists this ribosomal RNA (492 nucleotides) under uncultured bacterium. RNAcentral's name for it is "partial 16S ribosomal RNA". It matches the Rfam family "Bacterial small subunit ribosomal RNA", at positions 29 to 507 of the family's 1533-position model. The record is from RNAcentral.
AGUGAACGCUGGCGGUAGGCCUAACACAUGCAAGUCGAACGGCAGCACAGUAAGAGCUUGCUCUUACGGGUGGCGAGUGGCGGACGGGUGAGGCAUACAUCGGACUCUACUUUUUCGUGGGGGAUAACGUAGGGAAACUUACGCUAAUACCGCAUACGACCUACGGGUGAAAGCAGGGGAUCUUCGGACCUUGCGCGAUUGAAUGAGCCGAUGUCGGAUUAGCUAGUUGGCGGGGUAAAGGCCCACCAAGGCGACGAUCCGUAGCUGGUCUGAGAGGAUGAGCAGCCACACUGGAACUGAGACACGGUCCAGACUCCUACGGGAGGAAGCAGUGGGGAAUAUUGGACAAUGGGCGCAAGCCUGAUCCAGCCAUACCGCGUGGGUGAAGAAGGCCUUCGGGUUGUAAAGCCCUGUUGUUGGGAAAGAAAAGCAGCAGGUUAAUACCCCGCUGUUCUGACGGUACCCAAAGAAUAAGCACCGGCUAACUUCGUG